UGGGGAAUAUUGCACAAUGGGCGCAAGCCUGAUGCAGCCAUGCCGCGUGUGUGAAGAAGGCCUUCGGGUUGUAAAGCACUUUCAGCGGGGAGGAAGGCGUUAAGGUUAAUAACCUUGGCGAUUGACGUUACCCGCAGAAGAAGCACCGGCUAACUCCGUGCCAGCAGCCGCGGUAAUACGGAGGGUGCAAGCGUUAAUCGGAAUUACUGGGCGUAAAGCGCACGCAGGCGGUCUGUCAAGUCGGAUGUGAAAUCCCCGGGCUCAACCUGGGAACUGCAUUCGAAACUGGCAGGCUAGAGUCUUGUAGAGGGGGGUAGAAUUCCAGGUGUAGCGGUGAAAUGCGUAGAGAUCUGGAGGAAUACCGGUGGCGAAGGCGGCCCCGUGGACAAAGACUGACGCUCAGGUGCGAAAGCGUGGGGAGCAAACAGG
Molecule: ribosomal RNA, 429 nt
Filed under: Chloroflexota bacterium
Lineage: Bacteria; Bacillati; Chloroflexota
Description: Chloroflexi bacterium partial 16S ribosomal RNA
Rfam family: Bacterial small subunit ribosomal RNA
Source: RNAcentral